AUCCAUCUGACGAGUACCAAAUAGGACGAAACGCGCGUCCUGGAU
Non-coding RNA from Schistosoma mansoni, 45 nucleotides. Lineage: Eukaryota; Metazoa; Platyhelminthes; Trematoda; Strigeidida; Schistosomatidae. The record is from Rfam.